GACGAACGCUGGCGGCGUGCCUAAUACAUGCAAGUAGAACGCUGAAGGAGGAGCUUGCUUCUCUGGAUGAGUUGCGAACGGGUGAGUAACGCGUAGGUAACCUGCCUGGUAGCGGGGGAUAACUAUUGGAAACGAUAGCUAAUACCGCAUAAUAGUAGAUGUUGCAUGACAUUUGCUUAAAAGGUGCAAUUGCAUCACUACCAGAUGGACCUGCGUUGUAUUAGCUAGUUGGUGGGGUAACGGCUCACCAAGGCGACGAUACAUAGCCGACCUGAGAGGGUGGUCGGGCACACUGGGACUGAGACAAGGCCCAGACUCCUACGGGAGGCAGCAGUAGGGAAUCUUCGGCAAUGGACGGAAGGCUGAACGAGCAACGCCGCGUGAGUGAAGAAGGGUUUCGGAUCGUAAAGCUCGGUUGUAAGAGAAGAACGAGUGUGAGAGUGGAAAGUUCACACUGUGACGGUAGCUUACCAGAAAGGGACGGCUAACUACGUG
This 495-nucleotide ribosomal RNA is filed under the name uncultured bacterium. RNAcentral's name for it is "partial 16S ribosomal RNA". It matches the Rfam family "Bacterial small subunit ribosomal RNA", at positions 28 to 507 of the family's 1533-position model. The record is from RNAcentral.